CGUGCCCUACGGGACGCAGCAGUGAGGGAUAUUGGUCAAUGGGGGAAACCCUGAACCAGCAACGCCGCGUGAGGGAAGACGGUUUUCGGAUUGUAAACCUCUGUCCUCUGUGAAGAUAAUGACGGUAGCAGAGGAGGAAGCUCCGGCUAACUACGUGCCAGCAGCCGCGGUAAUACGUAGGGAGCGAGCGUUGUCCGGAUUUACUGGGUGUAAAGGGUGCGUAGGCGGGGAAGCAAGUCAGAAGUGGAAUCCAUGGGCUUAACCCAUGAACUGCUUUUGAAACUGUUUAUCUUGAG
This 296-nucleotide ribosomal RNA is filed under the name uncultured bacterium. Its description in RNAcentral is "partial 16S ribosomal RNA". It matches the Rfam family "Bacterial small subunit ribosomal RNA", at positions 333 to 646 of the family's 1533-position model. The record is from RNAcentral.